Molecule: ribosomal RNA, 501 nt
Filed under: uncultured bacterium
Lineage: Bacteria
Description: partial 16S ribosomal RNA
Rfam family: Bacterial small subunit ribosomal RNA
Source: RNAcentral
AUUGAACGCUGGCGGCAGGCUUAACACAUGCAAGUCGAGCGGAGCGAGGGUGCUUGCACCUUAGCUUAGCGGCGGACGGGUGAGUAAUGCUUAGGAAUCUGCCUAUUAGUGGGGGACAACAUUCCGAAAGGAAUGCUAAUACCGCAUACGCCCUACGGGGGAAAGCAGGGGAGCUUCGAACCUUGCGCUAAUAGAUGAGCCUAAGUCGGAUUAGCGAGUUGGUGGGGUAAAGGCCUACCAAGGCGACGAUCUGUAGCGGGUCUGAGAGGAUGAUCCGCCACACUGGGACUGAGGCACGGCCCAGACUCCUACGGGAGGCAGCAGUGGGGAAUAUUGGACAAUGGGCGGAAGCCUGAUCCAGCCAUGCCGCGUGUGUGAAGAAGGCCUUUUGGUCGUAAAGCACUUUAAGCGAGGAGGAGGCUACUUAGAUUAAUACUCUGGGAUAGUGGACGUUACUCGCAGAAUAAGCACCGGCUAACUCUGUGCCAGCCGCCGCAGUAA